RNAcentral lists this ribosomal RNA (315 nucleotides) under uncultured eukaryote. RNAcentral's name for it is "partial 18S ribosomal RNA". It matches the Rfam family "Eukaryotic small subunit ribosomal RNA", at positions 1470 to 1796 of the family's 1831-position model. The record is from RNAcentral.
CCCUUAGAUGUCCUGGGCCGCACGCGUGCUACGCUGACACUUGCAACGAGUACUUUGCUUUACCGAAAGGUAAUGCUAAUCAUCAAUAAGUGUCGUGAUGGGGAUAGAUCUUUGGAAUUAUGGAUCUUGAACGAGGAAUGCCUAGUAAGCGUAGGUCAUUAGCCUACGCUGAUUAAGUCCCUGCCCUUUGUACACACCGCCCGUCGCUCCUACCGAUUUCGAGUGGUCCGGUGAAACUUUUGGACCGUGCGACUUUAUUGUUGUCACGGAAAGUCAGUUAAACCAUACUACUUAGAGGAAGGAGAANUCGUANCA